RNAcentral lists this long non-coding RNA (2538 nucleotides) under Homo sapiens (human). Its description in RNAcentral is "non-protein coding lnc-SLC24A1-5:1". The record is from RNAcentral. Lineage: Eukaryota; Metazoa; Chordata; Mammalia; Primates; Hominidae.
AAUAGAUUACUGCUGCACUUACUCCAGUUACCAAAAAGGAUGUCUGCUAAUAAAAAUGCCACCAAAGCAAUAAAGAGUGAUUGGCUUUAAGAGGUUCCACAAGUAAUUUACAUACUUAAGUCUCUUGUGGCUGGGUGUGUCAUUAAAAAAAAAAAAAAACCAAACCAAAAACCUGAUAAGAAAGUAGGAAGCAGGUAACUUCUAGCUGUCUGAUUAGAGAAGGUUAUUUCAUUGGGAGUUUUGUGGGGGUGGGGGGGUAUGCUAAACUAGAUCUAUUUCCUUCUUUCAAAGGCAUGUUCUCCUUUAGAACCAAAUGAAUAUACCAAUUCCUAUGCAGUCGCCCCCACCGUUUUUUUUUUUUUUUGGAGACAGGGUCUCACACUGUCCCCAGGCUGGAGUGCAGUGGUGCAGUCUCAACCUCACUGCUCACUGAGUGAGACUCUGUCUCAAAAAAAAAGGCAUUCUCCUACAUAAUCACAAUACCAUAUGUCGUAUCCAAGAAAUUUAACAUUUAUACAGUUUUUUUUUUUUUUUUUUGAGACAGUGUGCUCUGUUGCCCAGGCUGGAGUGCAGUGGUGCUAUCUCACUACAACCUCCCCUCCGGGACAAGCGAUUCUCCUGCCUCAGCUUCCCAAGUAGCUGAGACUACAGGCGGGUGCCACCCCACCUGGCUAAUUUUUUUUUUGUAUUUUUAGUAGAGACGGGGUUUCACCAUGUUUGCCAAGAUGGUCUUGAUCUCCUGACCUCGUGAUCCGCCCGCCUUGGACUCCUAAAGUGCUGGGAUUACAGGCGUGAGCCACCUCGCUUGGCCCAUUUAUACAGUUUUUAAUGUGCAAUCCAUAUUCAUAUUUCUUCAGUAUACUAAUAAUGUCCUUUGUAGAUUUGUUUUUUAAUUAAAAAAUUCAAGAUCCAUUUAAAGAUCACAUGUAUAGGAGCCAAGGGAAGUGUCCCUAUUGCCCUCUGAAGGUUUGCUGAAAGCUAUCUGAUACAGCUUUGGACCUUUCACGAGGUCCAAACGAUAGGUAGAGGUUAGGAAGAAAAAGAAUCCUGCUUUAUCAUUUUUAUAUCAUUUAGAUUUCUCUUGUAGGAGAUCUAAAUAGAAACCUCUGAAAGUUUGCUGGAAAAUCAACUCACAAAAGGCAUUUUAAUUGGAGAAAAGGCAUACGAAAUUUAUUAACAUGUACACUGUACACUGGUUUUCUCUGGGGAGAACCAGAGAGAUGACCCACCUCCCAAUGGCAUUCAGAGGCUUAUGCCAUUCUGGCAAAACAGGUUAUGGGAAGGAGGAGAAAAGGAAUUCUGUUGAGGGGAUUACUGGGGAGGAUGAACGGAUCAGUGGACAGAAAUUAAUUGGUACAUUAUCUCGUGAAAGAGUCUGUUUAAGUGUGGUUACAUUCUUGAUCUUACAGGGAGGGGAAGAAAAAACAAUUGUCCCUUUUAGUGGGUCUGGAUCUCAGGCAGAUGAAGGAACUUCAGCUUCAUCCUGUGCCAGGGAGAGAGGAUGAGGGGGAGAAGGUCAGAGAGACCUUGAGGCUUCUUUAGUUCAGCAUAUCAAAACGCCAUUUUGGAGUAUGGGUUUCUGAGCCUUAACAGAUGGAAUUGUUUUGUAUCUGGGAUGUUGAAUAAAGUAGCCACAGGUUACUAUUGAGCACUUGAAAUGUGGCUAGUUAGAUGAGGAAUUGGAUUUUAAAUUUUAUUUAAUUAAAAUAGAUGGCUACUCUCUUGGAUAGCACAAAUUUAGAACAUUUAUCCCCAUCUCAGUCUGGAUUUAUCUCAUUAUUUCCUCAUGAUUAAAUUAGUUUUAAAUAUUUUUGUCAGGAAUACAUGGUGUCCUUUAUAGGAAUACAUUGUGUCUUUCCUAGUACAUCGUAUUAGGAGGCUAAUUGUGUUAAUUUGACACAUUUUUAGAAUUAUCUUGCUUUUUGAGAGUAGUGUUUUUGGAGGGACAACUGGGAGAGUAAACAAAAAUAAGGUACAUUCUCUGUUCUUAAGGACUUUAUAAUCUAGUCACAGGGAACAACUUUUAGGCAGUGCAGUAUAAGACCAAACGUGUUACAUACAGAUACUUAUUGUGGAGGAAUUUAGUGACAUUCAUGCGGUUAUUUAUUUAUCACAACACAUGUUAUAUGUUGCAGUACAGCAGUAAGACAGACACAGUUUUGAUCCUUACAGAGUUUAACACUUAGUAAAAGAGGCAGACACUAAAUUAUUUUUGAUAAGUGUCAUGAAAUAAAAAUAGAGUUUACAUAUAACAUCUUAAGUUGCCUAUUUUGUAUCAUUCUUUAAUUACAAUUUAAGUUUUGUUCAGGAGGUCACUGAUAAACACAUUAUCUUUUUUUCCCUUCCAAGAAUCGUUUGGGAUUUUAGCAUGUUUGUUAAGAUGUACUCUGCCGAAUGCGUCUGAUAGUGCAAAUUUAUUUAUUUUUUGUGUGGUACAAUGUCAUUGUGUGUAGGCAAUUUUUGUUUGUUUGUUUGUUUUUUGGGGUAAAGGUAGACUGAAAAUACUCUUAUGGUUUACUUUGAAUCUAAGUCCAUAAA